AAAUUCUAUAAAAGAUAUUUUCCUAUUUUAUUUUAAAAUAUCUUUUUUAGAUAUUAUCUAUUUAAUUUCAAAAUAUAUAUAUUUUAUAAGAUAACGGAUUUUAUUUUUCUAUUUAAUUUUAAAAAUUUAUUUCCUAACAGAUUUUAUUUUUCUAUUUAAUUUCAAAAGUAAUUUUUGCAUUAGAGAUUAUUGUUAAUUAUUUAUCAUUUAAAGUAUAUCUUUCUUAAUAGCGUGAUUUAUUAUUUUAAAUUUUUUAGAUACAUAUUUGNUAAUUAACUUGUAAUACUAGUAUAGUAAUCUUCGUGAUAUGGCGGAUAGAUAAUUAAAAAAUAAAAAAAUCUAUAAAAAUAAAAAAAAAUGGUGAUGAAAAAAACGAUGAUAAGAAAUGGGAUUUAUCUUACUGAUAAAUGAAAAUAACAGUCGAAGGAAGAGAAAGAUGAAGGACUUGAGCUGGUUCGGAAUAGAGUCCACAUUCAACAGAAGGAAAAAUUGCCACAUAGCAAUUUGAGGAAAAAUAUAAUAUAUAUAUAUAUAGAUAGUGUAGAGCUACUAUGCUAACUAUGCUAUCAGAAACAUAAAGUAGUUGGUGCUUCUGAUUUUUUAGCUCUUUGAUCAAAGAUUCUGCGGUUGGGAUGCUAGUGGUCCCUUUAGGAUUGAGUGGUCCCCUAGUGUUGAGUGGUCUCCAUUGGUUAAUAAUAUUAAUCCAAUGAUUAGAAAUGAUCAAUGGAGAUGAUCUAAGGGCUAAAAAAUCGGAAGCACCAACUACUUUAUGCUUACAAUAGCAUAGUAACUACAUAUAUAUAUAGAAUUAGGCUGGAAUACUAUUGAUAGCAAAAUGAUCUUUUUAUUAUCAAGUUUUUAAUCUUUGAAUGAGAAAUUGUAGGGUUAGGAUGAUAUUAGUCAGUUAGAGUUGAGUGGUCCCCCUAGGGUUGAUUGGUCUCUACUGGUUUAUAGUAUUUAAUCCAAUGAUUAGAAAUGAUGAAAAAAGUUGAUCCAAAGGCUAAAAACUUGAUAGCAAAAAUGACGUUUUGCUAUCAAUAGUAUUCUAGCUCAACUCUAUAUAUAUAUAUAUAUAUAUAGAGUGAGGCUACUAUACUAUCGGAAGCACGGAGCCUUCCGUGCUUCCAGCUCGUUUUCGAUGUUGCGACUUUCGAAUCGUCGAUCGGCUCCGUUAAACUUGAUCUAGAGUAUUUGAAGUACGUAGAAAAUAAAGUUUAUGAUUUUACGAUAUCAUUUGCCUAGUGAUCGAAUGGGCUCAAAAUCAACAAAUUUCAAUGGCCGUAGUGAGCUGUUUGUAAGUUUAACGGUGUAGAAAUAUCCAAAUCAUGUAAAAUUUUGAUGGAAAAUUUUUUAUACUAUAUAAAACAAGAUCAAUAUAUUUGAUUUAAAAUUUUAAUGUCAUAUUAUUACAUUUUGUAAGAUUUUUAUUUUCAGCCGUUGAUUUUGAGCCCCUUUGUUCACUAAGCGAAUGAUAUCGUAAAAUUAUAAAAUUUAUUUUCUAGGUACUUCAAAUACUCUAGAUCAAGUUUAACGGAGUCGAUCGACGAUUCGAAAGUCGCAACAUCGAAAACGAGCUGGAAGCACGGAAGGCUCCGUGCUUCCGAUAGCAUAGUAGCCUCACUCUCUCUCUCUCUCUCUCUAUAUAUAUAUAAUGAGAAGAGCUAGGCUGCUAUACUAUCGGUAGCAUGGACGUUUUCGUGCUACCAAGUUGUUUUCAAUUAUGCCGCUUCCAAAUCGACGAUCGGCCCCGUUCAACUUGAUCUACACUAGUGAAAGUAUUUGAAAACUAAAUUUCAUAAUUUUUCGGUAUUAUUUACCUAUCAAACGAGUAGUUUGAAAAUAAAAAUCUCAUAAAAAAUAAUGAUAGAAGACUUGAAUUUAAGAUUAGAGGUACUGAUCUUACUUUAAAUAGUAAAAAGAAUUUUCUAUAAAAAUUUCAUCUGAUUUGAAUUGUUUUACACUAUUAAAUUUACAAAUGCAUCACAUCUAUCAUUAAAAUUAUCAAUUUUGAGACAUUUUGAUCACUAGCCAAAUGAUGUUGAAAAAUUCUGAAAUUUAGUUUCUAAAUACUUUCAAUAGUGUAGAUCAAGUCUAAUGGACCAGAUCGUCGAUUUGAAAACCGUAUCAUCGAAAAUAACUUGAUAAUACGGAAGCCUCCGUACUACCGAUAGUAUAGCAGCCCAACUCCAAUGAGAAAUGCCACCAACCAGCAA
Molecule: long non-coding RNA, 2213 nt
Filed under: Ananas comosus (pineapple)
Lineage: Eukaryota; Viridiplantae; Streptophyta; Magnoliopsida; Poales; Bromeliaceae
Description: long non-coding RNA (ACOM_LNC018682)
Source: RNAcentral